UGCAGUCUGGUUCUUAUCUCUGUCACUGGCCUGAAAAAAGCAUUCAAGGCCUCGAGGCUGAGACUCAGCAGGAUGGGGCUCCAAUUCCACAAACAGGCUGAGUGCGCUUGGGCCCGUUAUACAAGGUCUACCCCUUCCUGAGGAUGCCUCACCAGCAGAAGCAGCAUACGCCUCUCUGGGCUCCUUGAGGACCACUUGAACUGACUGUGGGAUUCCAACUCUGCAAACAGCGCAGUCAUUGGCAGUCCAGACUGAGCGCCAUGUGGCCAGGUCAACAGUUCUGUAAAUGGUUAAAACUUCACUUCAACUGAGAACCUUACUUUCAAGCCAGAUAAGGACACAGCUUCUGGGCUGCAACUUAAGAGAGAAGGUUACUGAGGCACCAGAUGCCUCAGCCUCCAAAAGGGACCCCAUCAUUACAGAGUCCUUGUAUCACAAUAGAGGACGUUUUCUCUUUUACAGAUUUUAUUGUGUAUACAGUGUUCUGCCGCAUAUAUGGCUCAUGCCAGAAGAGGGCACCAGAUCUCAUUACAGGUGAUUGUGAGGCACCAUAUGGCUGCUAGAAAUAGAACUCAGGACCUCUGGAAGAGCAGCCAGGGCUCUUAACUGCUGAGCCUUCUCUCCAGCCCCAAAGAGGAUAUUUUCUAAGGUACACAACGCACAUGAGAUGUGACGCCUGUCCUGGAGCCUGGGGUAAAUUGCUCCUACUCUGCUGGCAGGUGAACUUGCCAGGCAAGUGAACUAGGGUCCGUGCACCCGGGUCACUUCCUACGGAACUCAGGCUUCUGCACUGGGAGUGAUGGCUGGACCCCACCAUCACUGCAACACCCAGAGAAGAGUACAUUUGCACUGUUCACCUGCUUUAUAGCAAAACCCAUGGGAACCCAGAUUCGAACCCCUGCUUUCUGAACUCUGUGUGAUGGCCCUGAGACCCCAGUGGCUGGUAUCCCUCCUCUGUCAUUUACUGAGCAACGAGCCUGACUGACAUGUGGUGAUGACAGUGUCUGCACCUGUAGUCUGUCUCCCGGAAUAUGGGAAAUGCCCAACAAGAGUACUUCUUGGUAACCGCCUGGUUGCCUUCCAGCCAGGAAACAUCCCGGAGGGAAGCAGAAGGACCCAGAAAGGAAAGGUCCGCCAUCCUACCUGUCCGCAGCUCCCGCUCCGUCCCACCUGCUGCGAGGACUGGCGGCUGCCUGGGUCUCCGUCCUGCCCCAGCACUUGGGCACAGGGAAGAGGAUGUUUUGUAACUUUUGGCUGGAACUUCCAGACGCCGAACAGGAAAUGUCCUCUGGGACGCCUCCGAAGCUCAAGGAGUCAUUGCGGGUCUUCCUGGAAGCUAGUGGCAAAUUCUGCGUUUCCCUCUCCCUCCCCUUCUCCCUCUUCCCCCCCUCAUCUCCCCUCCACCCCUUCCCCUCCCCCUCCCUUCCCCCUCCUUUCCCCUGUGCCUCUCUACUCCGUUGUGUACUGAAACCUUUUUCCUCUGGGUAAACUUGGCUCCAGAACACUCCUUCCUUGUGAGAGAUUUUUCUCAUGUUACACAAUUUAGUUUAAAAAAAAAAUCAGACCUUUUUUUUUCCUACUCUGAACUUUGUACUGGGAACAUUUUUUGAUAGUUUUUUUUCCCCCUUCUCUGACCCUUUGGAUUCCAAGAAAAUGCACGCCCACAUCCCUCUUACUGGUCCCACCCCCCCUUCUCUCCGUUGGAAAGACAACAGCUGGUAGAAGUCAGCCCUUUAACUAUGGGUGCCCAGCUGAGCUUUCUCCUACGGGUGCGACCACCCUGGAGCCUGUGUGCAAUGCAUUAGGAGAUCUGGGGGCCUAAGGAGGGCCUUCAGGGACAGAACUGGUUACCUUUCCCAACUCACUACGUCCUGUGGCCCCCAGGGAUGGGACCAGGAGUGCCCCAGACUGAGGUGCCCACUAGAAGACCGGUGGCUGGUAAGCACCUUUAGCCUUUACCAUUUACGGCACUUGACCCUGCAAGGAAACCCGGCAGUUCUUACAGCGCAGACUUGCAGUCAUGAAACGGAUUAUCGUUUCUGUACUGGGUUUUAGCAGAAAACAGGUAGUAGACUAACGAUGCAAGGCUGUAAGAAAAGGCAUUUCUGACAAUUUUAGCGUAUUAGGGAUUUUCUUUAGGAGAAAUUUUUAUUAUAUGUGUUUUAGCUGAUACAUAAAGCCAUAAAAAUGUAAUACGUGGUAAUGAAUUCAAUCCUAUAUUCAACAUAUUUAGUUAGGGGCUGGAGAGAUGGCUUAGUAAUUAAGAGCACUUAUUGCUCUUGGAGAGGACUCUGGUUUUGGCACCCAGCACCCAACUGUUUGUAACUCCAGUUCUUCAGGAUCUAAUGCUCUCUUCUGGCCUCGGGGGGUACUGCACACACACACACACACACACACACACACACACACAAAGCAAAAUGAGACAAAAAGUCUACAGCAAUCCCACUGGGAUCUUUUUGUGUGUGGUUUACCCGGAAGUGUGGCUGAUACACCCAGUGAGAUUCCACUGGAGAACUGCCCCUUUGUCAGCAGGUCUCAAUUGCAGAUAGUUUCUUGGUGAGGGGUGGGAACCUAUGUCCACUUCUGCUUCUCAGUGCUGGGACUCCAUCUGGCUUGAGCCUGUGCAGGGCCCGUGCCUGCUGCCACGGUCUCUGUGAGUUCACGUGUGCAACAGUCCUGUUGUGACUGGCUGGGGCUUUUCUUUUUCAAAAUUCAUGUUAUUCAUGGUACCUGUUUAGUCCAACAAUCUCUCUCUCUCAUGUUCUAUGUUAGAAUUGCAAAUAUCAUCCAUCCAUUCAUUUCAUUUAAUAAAUAUUUAUGAAUAUCA
This is a long non-coding RNA of Mesocricetus auratus (golden hamster), 2827 nucleotides long. RefSeq lists it as uncharacterized. The transcript is spliced from 2 exons. The record is from RefSeq and is a predicted model, not a curated record. NCBI's taxonomy places the organism in Eukaryota, Metazoa, Chordata, Mammalia, Rodentia, Cricetidae.